RNAcentral lists this ribosomal RNA (750 nucleotides) under Staphylococcus aureus. RNAcentral describes it as "bacterial SSU rRNA". It matches the Rfam family "Bacterial small subunit ribosomal RNA", at positions 17 to 749 of the family's 1533-position model. The record is from RNAcentral. Lineage: Bacteria; Bacillati; Bacillota; Bacilli; Caryophanales; Staphylococcaceae.
GAAUCCGUCAGGAUGAACGCUGGCGGCGUGCCUAAUACAUGCAAGUCGAGCGAACGGACGAGAAGCUUGCUUCUCUGAUGUUAGCGGCGGACGGGUGAGUAACACGUGGAUAACCUACCUAUAAGACUGGGAUAACUUCGGGAAACCGGAGCUAAUACCGGAUAAUAUUUUGAACCGCAUGGUUCAAAAGUGAAAGACGGUCUUGCUGUCACUUAUAGAUGGAUCCGCGCUGCAUUAGCUAGUUGGUAAGGUAACGGCUUACCAAGGCAACGAUGCAUAGCCGACCUGAGAGGGUGAUCGGCCACACUGGAACUGAGACACGGUCCAGACUCCUACGGGAGGCAGCAGUAGGGAAUCUUCCGCAAUGGGCGAAAGCCUGACGGAGCAACGCCGCGUGAGUGAUGAAGGUCUUCGGAUCGUAAAACUCUGUUAUUAGGGAAGAACAUAUGUGUAAGUAACUGUGCACAUCUUGACGGUACCUAAUCAGAAAGCCACGGCUAACUACGUGCCAGCAGCCGCGGUAAUACGUAGGUGGCAAGCGUUAUCCGGAAUUAUUGGGCGUAAAGCGCGCGUAGGCGGUUUUUUAAGUCUGAUGUGAAAGCCCACGGCUCAACCGUGGAGGGUCAUUGGAAACUGGAAAACUUGAGUGCAGAAGAGGAAAGUGGAAUUCCAUGUGUAGCGGUGAAAUGCGCAGAGAUAUGGAGGAACACCAGUGGCGAAGGCGACUUUCUGGUCUGUAACUGACGCUGA